RNAcentral lists this ribosomal RNA (430 nucleotides) under uncultured bacterium. RNAcentral's name for it is "bacterial SSU rRNA". It matches the Rfam family "Bacterial small subunit ribosomal RNA", at positions 355 to 776 of the family's 1533-position model. The record is from RNAcentral.
UGGGGAAUAUUGCGCAAUGGGGGAAACCCUGACGCAGCAACGCCGCGUGAGUGACGAAGGCCUUCGGGUUGUAAAGCUCUGUCGGAAGGGACGAAACUUAUAGAUGCUAAUAUCAUCUUUAAUUGACGGUACCUUCAAAGGAAGCACCGGCUAACUCCGUGCCAGCAGCCGCGGUAAUACGGAGGGUGCAAGCGUUGUUCGGAAUUACUGGGCGUAAAGCGCGUGUAGGCGGUCUUUUAUGUCAGGUGUGAAAGCCCUGGGCCUAACCCAGGAAGUGCGCCUGAAACUGAAAGACUUGAGUACGAGAGAGGGGGACGGAAUUCCCAGUGUAGAGGUGAAAUUCGUAGAUAUUGGGAGGAACACCGGUGGCGAAAGCGGUUCCCUGGAUCGAUACUGACGCUGAGACGCGAAAGCGUGGGUAGCAAACAGG